AGCAGCCGCGGUAAUUCCAGCUCCAAUAGCGUAUAUUAAAGUUGUUGCAGUUAAAAAGCUCGUAGUUGAAUUUCGGGAUCAAUACGCCUGUCGUGCCUUCGGUACGUACGGGUGUAAUUGGUCUCUACCUUCUGAGGAUCCUUGAUGUCAUUAAUUUGGUGUCUUGGGGAAUCAGGACUGUUACCUUGAAAAAAUUAGAGUGUUUAAAGCAGGCAUACGCUUGAAUACAUUAGCAUGGAAUAAUGAAAUAGGACGUUCGAUUCUAUUUUGUUGGUUUCUAGGAUCGACGUAAUGAUUAAUAGGGAUAGUUGGGGGCAUUAGUAUUCAAUUGUCAGAGGUGAAAUUCUUGGAUUUAUUGAAGACUAACUACUGCGAAAGCAUUUGCCAAGGAUGUUUUCAUUAAUCAAGAACGAAAGUUAGGGGAUCGAAGACGAUCAGAUACCGUCGUAGUCUUAACCACAAACUAUGCCGACUAGGGAUCGGAUGAUGUUAAUUUUUAAUGACUCAUUCGGCGCCUUAA
This 520-nucleotide ribosomal RNA is filed under the name uncultured Glomus. Its description in RNAcentral is "SSU rRNA". It matches the Rfam family "Eukaryotic small subunit ribosomal RNA", at positions 569 to 1091 of the family's 1831-position model. The record is from RNAcentral. Lineage: Eukaryota; Fungi; Glomeromycota; Glomeromycetes; Glomerales; Glomeraceae.